GCGUUCGUGGUGUAGUGGUCAGCACGCUCGACGCGUAACCGAGAGGUCCGUGGUUCGAUUCCCGGCGAAGGCC
This 73-nucleotide transfer RNA is filed under the name Stegodyphus mimosarum. It matches the Rfam family "tRNA". From Rfam's summary of the family: Transfer RNA (tRNA) molecules are approximately 80 nucleotides in length. Their secondary structure includes four short double-helical elements and three loops (D, anti-codon, and T loops). Further hydrogen bonds mediate the characteristic L-shaped molecular structure. tRNAs have two regions of fundamental functional importance: the anti-codon, which is responsible for specific mRNA codon recognition, and the 3' end, to which the tRNAs corresponding amino acid is attached (by aminoacyl-tRNA synthetases). tRNAs cope with the degeneracy of the genetic code in two manners: having more than one tRNA (with a specific anti-codon) for a particular amino acid; and 'wobble' base-pairing, i.e. permitting non-standard base-pairing at the 3rd anti-codon position. The record is from Rfam by way of RNAcentral. Lineage: Eukaryota; Metazoa; Arthropoda; Arachnida; Araneae; Eresidae.